CAGCAGCAGCAACGUGAAAAGAGAGAAGAGAGGUAGGGUUCCAAAAAUUCACUAUUCAUCAUCUUCUUCUCAAGCUCAUAUCUUGAGCUAUAGAGCUCUGAUUUGUGUGCCGUCAGCGACUACGCAUUCUUUGUGAAGAGCUCUACAAAACCCAUAUAAGAAACUGGUUUGCUCUAAUCCUUGCUUAGCAUUGGAUUUUUGCUAUCAAAUCUGUUGAAAAAGUUUGAUUAUUGUGAGUUUGGAGCUUGUUGGUGCUUGUUGGAG
Arachis stenosperma is the source of this 264-nucleotide long non-coding RNA. RefSeq lists it as uncharacterized. The record is from RefSeq and is a predicted model, not a curated record. NCBI's taxonomy places the organism in Eukaryota, Viridiplantae, Streptophyta, Magnoliopsida, Fabales, Fabaceae. The transcript is spliced from 3 exons.